This 499-nucleotide ribosomal RNA is filed under the name uncultured bacterium. Its description in RNAcentral is "bacterial SSU rRNA". It matches the Rfam family "Bacterial small subunit ribosomal RNA", at positions 29 to 501 of the family's 1533-position model. The record is from RNAcentral.
AACAAACGCUGGCGGCGUGCCUAACACAUGCAAGUCGAACGAGAAAGUCGGUUUCGGCCGAUGAGUAAAGUGGCGCACGGGUGAGUAACGCGUGGAUAAUCUACCCUUUAGUCCGGAAUAACUUGCCGAAAGGUGAACUAAUACCGGAUGACAUCCCGGGUUCUCCGGAAACCGGGAUCAAAGAAGGCCUCUGCUUGCAAGCUUUUGCUGAAGGAUGAGUCCGCGUACCAUUAGCUAGUUGGUGGGGUAAUGGCCUACCAAGGUUAUGAUGGUUAGCUGGUCUGAGAGGAUGAUCAGCCACACUGGAACUGAAACACGGUCCAGACUCCUACGGGAGGCAGCAGUGAGGAAUAUUGCGCAAUGGGGGCAACCCUGACGCAGCAACGCCGCGUGAGUGAGGAAGGUUUUCGGAUUGUAAAGCUCUGUCGAGCGGAAAGAAAUGCACGAUGGCUAAUAUCCAUCAUGCUUGACGGUACCGCUAGAGGAAGCACCGGCUAAC